Molecule: ribosomal RNA, 464 nt
Filed under: uncultured Geobacteraceae bacterium
Lineage: Bacteria; Pseudomonadati; Thermodesulfobacteriota; Desulfuromonadia; Geobacterales; Geobacteraceae
Description: partial 16S ribosomal RNA
Rfam family: Bacterial small subunit ribosomal RNA
Source: RNAcentral
CCUACGGGAGGCAGCAGUGGGGAAUUUUGCGCAAUGGGGGCAACCCUGACGCAGCAACGCCGCGUGAGUGAUGAAGGCCUUCGGGUCGUAAAGCUCUGUCAGAGGGGAAGAAAUGCAGGUGGUGAACAACCAUUCUGUUUGACGGUACCCUCAAAGGAAGCACCGGCUAACUCCGUGCCAGCAGCCGCGGUAAUACGGAGGGUGCGAGCGUUGUUCGGAAUUAUUGGGCGUAAAGCGCGUGUAGGCGGUUUGGUAAGUCAGAGGGGAAAGCCCCGGGCACAACCUGGGAAGUGCAUUGGAUACUGGCAGACUUGAGUACGGGAGAGGAGAGUGGAAUUCCCAGUGUAGGAGUGAAAUCCGUAGAUAUUGGGAGGAACACCAGUGGCGAAGGCGGUUCUCUGGACGAAAACUGACGCUGAGGGACGAAAGCCAGGGGAGCGAACGGGAUUAGAUACCCCGGUAGU